RNAcentral lists this ribosomal RNA (971 nucleotides) under uncultured bacterium. RNAcentral describes it as "bacterial SSU rRNA". It matches the Rfam family "Bacterial small subunit ribosomal RNA", at positions 404 to 1401 of the family's 1533-position model. The record is from RNAcentral.
UGGGAAGAAGGCCCUCCGGCUAUGAAGCGGUGUUUGGGGAGAGGAGGAAGGAGCGGUUCUGUCAGAAGAAGUAUAAACUAAGUACGUACCAGCAGGCACAGUAUCACGUAGGAGACGAACGUUAUCCGGAUUUACUGGGCGUAAAGCGCGUGUAGGUAGAUUUGGUAAGUAGGGCGUGAAAGCUCCUGGCUCAUCGGGGAGAGGCCGUUCUAAACUGCCGAACUAGAGGAUGGUAGAGGGAGGUGGAAUUCCGGGUGUAGCGGUGGAAUGCGCAGAUAUCCGGAGGAACACCAGUGGCGAAAGCGGCCUCCUGGACCAUUCCUGACACUCAGACGCGAAAGCUAGGGUAGCAAACGGGAUUAGAGACCCCGGUAGUCCUAGCCCUAAACGAUGUAGACUAGGCGUCGGUGGUUUAAACGCCAUCGGUGUCCAAGCUAACGCGAUAAGUCUACCGCCCGGGGACUACGGCCGCAAGGUUAAAACUCAAAGGAAUUGACGGGUCCCCGCACAAGCAGCGGAGCGUGUGGUUUAAUUCGUUGCUACACGAAGAACCUUACCUGGGUUUGACAUAGCAGUGGUAGGGAAGCGAAAGCAGACCGACCCUUCGGGGAGCUGUUACAGGUGUUGCAUGGCUGUCGUCAGCUCGUGUCGUGAGAUGUUCGGUUAAGUCCGCUAACGAGCGCAACCCUCGCUGUGUGUUACAAGUGUCACACGGUACUGCCGGUAUUAAGUCGGAGGAAGGUGGGGAUGACGUCAAGUCAGCAUGACCUUUAUAUCCAGGGCUACACACACGCUACAAUGGUCAGUACAAUAGGUUGCCAAGCCGCGAGGCGGAGCCAAUCCUAAAAAGCUGGCCUCAGUUCAGAUUGCAGUCUGCAACUCGACUGCAUGAAGUUGGAGUUGCUAGUAACCGCAGGUCAGCUAUACUGCGGUGAAUACGUUCCCGGGGAUUGCACACACCGCCCGUCAAG